AGUGAAUAGAUACCCGGGUAGUCCACGCUGUAAACGAUGGGUACUAGGUUUGGUGGGUCUUGACCCCCGCCGAAACCGGAGCUAAACGCACUAAAGUACCCCGCCUGGGAAGUACGGUCGCAAGACUAAAACUCAAAGGAAUUGACGGGGGCCCGCACAAGCGGUGGAUCAUGUGGUUUAAUUCGAAGCAACGCGAAGAACCUUACCUGGGUUUGACAUCCCCGGACCGGCGUAGAGAUACGCCUUUCGUAGCAAUACGACUGGGAGACAGGUGCUGCAUGGCUGUCGUCAGCUCGUGUGGUGACAUGUUGGGUUAAGUCCCGCAACGAGCGCAACCCUUGUCUUUAGUUGCCAGCAUUCAGUUGGGCACUCUAAAGAGACUGCCGUGGUUAACACGGAGGAAGGUGGGGAUGACGUCAAGUCCUCAUGGCCUUUAUAUCCAGGGCGACACACGUGAUACAAUGGUUGGUACAGAGGGAUGCGAAAGCGCGAGCUGGAGCUAAUCUCAAAAAAGCCAAUCUCAGUUCGGAUUGGAGUCUGC
RNAcentral lists this ribosomal RNA (541 nucleotides) under uncultured bacterium. RNAcentral's name for it is "bacterial SSU rRNA". It matches the Rfam family "Bacterial small subunit ribosomal RNA", at positions 774 to 1308 of the family's 1533-position model. The record is from RNAcentral.